GAUGAACGCUGGCGGCGUGCCUAAUACAUGCAAGUCGAGCGAACAGACGAGGAGCUUGCUCCUCUGACGUUAGCGGCGGACGGGUGAGUAACACGUGGAUAACCUACCUAUAAGACUGGGAUAACUUCGGGAAACCGGAGCUAAUACCGGAUAAUAUAUUGAACCGCAUGGUUCAAUAGUGAAAGACGGUUUUGCUGUCACUUCUAGAUGGAUCCCCGCCUGUUUAGCUGGUUGGUAAGUGAACGGCGUACCAAGGCAACUAUGGGUAGCCGACCUAUGGGGGGGGUAGGCCACCAUGGAACGGAGGAACGGUCCAGAGUCCUGCGGGAGGGAGCAGUAGGGAAUCGUCCGCAAUGGGGGAAAGCCUGACGGAGCAACGGCGCGUGAGUGAUGAAGGUCUUCGGAUCGUAAAAAUCUGUUAUUAGGGAAGAACAAAUGUGGAAGUAACUAUGCACGUCUUGACGGUACCUAAUCAGAAAGCCACGGCUAACUACGUG
Molecule: ribosomal RNA, 497 nt
Filed under: uncultured bacterium
Lineage: Bacteria
Description: partial 16S ribosomal RNA
Rfam family: Bacterial small subunit ribosomal RNA
Source: RNAcentral